Canis lupus familiaris (dog) is the source of this 2380-nucleotide long non-coding RNA. RefSeq lists it as uncharacterized. NCBI's taxonomy places the organism in Eukaryota, Metazoa, Chordata, Mammalia, Carnivora, Canidae. The record is from RefSeq and is a predicted model, not a curated record. The transcript has 3 exons.
UUAAGCCCAGGGCUGGACAUCUUAAUUUUUCUGUCAGUGUUCCUCUUGCCCUUUUCUGGACUGCAACCAGGGGCUCCCAUGGCCUCUAACUGGGUUUGGCCAGCGGGAGGUCCCAGCAGGAGCUCAUAGGGAGGGUGAAAGAGAGGGCAUGGGGUACUUGUUGCUGUCCUCUGCCCCUGCAGGGGUGGCCUCAGUCCCCUCUUGUAGUAUCUCUGCUACACUCUCUCUCAGAGCUGUGCCCAUGGGGCACUGCGGAGCCCACUGUGCUGCCCACACCUUUGUUACACCCUCUUCAGUGAUGCUGGUGGAGUGGCCCACCUGUGACAUGCUGGGACCCUGCCGGAUUCAAGCAUGGGCCAUGUGAGCCCAGAUGGCAAACGAUGAUCCCUGCCCUGGAGAAGCUCCUGAGAGGUUAUGGGUCCAGUUCAUUCUACAGGAAGUGUCAGGAAGUGUCUCCCUCAGCAGCCAUUAGCCUGGGAGACCUAGAAAGACUCCCCAAGGAGAUUCCUGGAAGCCAGAAAAUUAGCUGGCCAAGCGACAUCCUAAAGUGGGAGUGCCUUUCAUCCUAGCCAAAGCCAGAGAUGACAUUGAGUGGGAUGGACUGAGACCCACUAACAGUUUGGGGGCCCUAGAGGCCAGUGAGGCUGCACCAGGCCUGAGACCCAGACCUCACAACCUGGCUUUAAAUGCCCAGAGGCUCCUCAUCCCAAAUUGCAUCUGUCAGGAUUGACAGGGCUGCUGUGCGGAGGACCCCUCUACUUGGCGGCGUGAGGGCAGGCAGGCAGCUUUUGAGGAGAAAGACCCAUUAGCACAGUCUAGAUUUCACUCUGAAGACCCCCCCGGUGAUACCCGGACCCGAGGAAGGUGACCCCCUGGAGCAAAGCAGAGCAAAGUUGCCUGAUGGAGAGCCAGAGUCCUCAACAGAGGUCUUGAGCAUGCUUCUGUUCCUGGGUGCCACACAUGGAGUUGUGCCUGUGGAAUUACGAGUCUGACUCCAGGGGUUGGGGACAGUGCUGUCUUCUGGAAAUACUGCCUGAGCCCAGCUGUUUUGCUUUUGUCCCCUCGGGAGCUCCUCAAAGACAGGAGCAGAGUUUGGCACACAGGGUGAUUGCAUAUCAUCAGCCGGGAAACUCCUCAAGGGCAGAGGCCAAGGCUUCUGCCUCUCAGGAAACCCUGGCCCCCUGCUGCUGUCUCUGCCUCUCCAACACAUGUGGGCACACUAAUACACACACACAUCCACGUUCAUAUGCACGAACUCACUCUCCCAUGAAUCACACACAUGUAUUCACUACUUAGAGCUGCCCCCUGCCCCGUCUCUCGAGCAGAACCCCUUCAGGCCCAGGGCCUGUGCUAUGGCAUUGCUCCAGUGUGGCUCACAGAGGCAAGGCAGGGACUCUGCUCACGGUGUUCUCAUUUGUCCACGGCAGAUUUAGGCUUCAAGCCCAGGGGGUUUUGCAGGCUUUGGGUGAGCCUUGGUCUCUGCCCUUGAGAGGGUCCCAGUUGCCUAAGGAUCUUGGCCGGAAGGAAGGAGGCCAAGGGCAGGGACACAGAGCAGCGCCUACCACUUGGCACCGGUGAUUUCAUUCUUUUCACAGCAAUCUUUUGAGGCAGGGAUGACUUCACUUUGUAAAGUGGAAACUGAGGCUCAUGCUAAUUAAGUGCUUGCAGAGAGGGGUAGAGCCAGGAUUUGGCUAGGUCUGCCUCCAGAGGUCAUCACAGCAGUAAAAACUGCUGGGAAGGAAGAGGCUUCAUGGUACCCACCUUGUCUUUUUUGAGCAUGUAGCAUGGUAUUUUGCAAAGGCACAAACGUUCACACAAGUCACUGCUUCUUAGCUUUUGAGGCCCUCUGAAAACCAGAAAACCUGUGAGGGUUAUUGGCUCCUCUCCCCAGAAUAGUCCAUACACACAGAGGCAUGCAUGGAUAAACUGGGGUAUGAUUUCAGGGGUUCAAGGCCUCCCAAGACCUCCAGUGGCUCCCAGGUUGAGACCUCCCCUUAGAUGUGUUUGUAAGUGGUGUGAGAGACAAGAAGAGGUGGUGUCCCUGCCCUAUACAGGGCACUGUGCUCAAGGGGGUCUGUACAAAGAUGUUCAUCUCAGCCCUGUUUUUAGUAAUGAAAAUUGGGAAUAAUUUGAACAGCUAUUAGGAGGGGCUGAUUUGAUCAGUAAAGCCUAUCCAGACACAAUGAUCCCAAGAAAGGAUGGCAUAAGUAUAAAUAGACGUGGCUCUCCAAGACAUACUGUUGAGUAGGGGAAAGCAUGUUGAAGAAUGACAUACACACACGCAUCAUUUAUGUAAAAUAAAAGCACUCAACAAUAUUAUUUAUUUCUGCACAUGUGGAAAAAUGUGUGUUGAAUGCACAGAAAAAGGAUUGAGAUCAUA